Molecule: long non-coding RNA, 473 nt
Organism: Xenopus tropicalis (tropical clawed frog)
Lineage: Eukaryota; Metazoa; Chordata; Amphibia; Anura; Pipidae
Exons: 3
Source: RefSeq, a predicted model, not a curated record
GAAUGUAUCUAAAUGAAUUCCUAAUUAGCCAUGCAGAAUGUGGAUUCAAUAUGUGGCCGGUAUUAAAGGGGUGAGGAGGCAACCCUAUGGCAGGCUAACAGGACUCUGUGGGGCCCCACACGCAGACAACCAACACUCGCUGGAACACAGAAGCUGAUCAGAGGCAGAAGAUAGAAGUCAGUCAGUGAGAGAGUCAGCAGCUUCAUCCACCCAGUCCCAACCUGUCAGCACUGGAACCGGCUUCUGGACUAAUGGAGAACUAAACCCACCCCCAGACAAAAGCCUGCAUCUGCUGCCCUCCAUUGAGCCCCCUGCUCCCUCCCCACAGAGUUAGUUCAGCGACAUGGAGCUGCAGUGAUCCUACUGCUUUAACGUCAGCCAAAAACUGGAACUUCAAGACCAGCUCCAACAAUGUGACAUAAAAGCCAAGAUUCUUUUUUUAUUUCACCUGUAAUAAAUAACGUAGCCUCUGA